Non-coding RNA from Parelaphostrongylus tenuis, 77 nucleotides. The record is from the annotation of a GenBank genome assembly. NCBI's taxonomy places the organism in Eukaryota, Metazoa, Nematoda, Chromadorea, Rhabditida, Metastrongylidae.
GCCGCGGUAGCGCAGUGGUUAGCACUUGCCCUUGAACCCGAAAGGGUGUGACACGGGUUCAACUCCCGUACAAGGUU